This is a long non-coding RNA of Lontra canadensis (Northern American river otter), 100 nucleotides long. RefSeq lists it as uncharacterized. The record is from RefSeq and is a predicted model, not a curated record. The transcript is spliced from 3 exons. NCBI's taxonomy places the organism in Eukaryota, Metazoa, Chordata, Mammalia, Carnivora, Mustelidae.
AUAAAAGCCACUAUAUAUGAGUGUCAUUGGUUUCAGUAAUUUUUUAAUCUUUUUUAUUUCUUUUCUUUCUUUUAUUAUUAUGUUAUUUUAGUCACCACAC